Molecule: long non-coding RNA, 788 nt
Filed under: Monodelphis domestica (gray short-tailed opossum)
Lineage: Eukaryota; Metazoa; Chordata; Mammalia; Didelphimorphia; Didelphidae
Description: lncRNA (ENSMODG00000037753.1)
Source: RNAcentral
UUAUUGUUUAGAGUCUACAUCCCCAAUCAUAUCCCCAUCAACCCAUGUGAGCAAGCAGUUGUUUUUCUUCUGUGUUUCUACUCCCACAGUUCUUUCUCUGGAUUCCAAUUCAAUUUAAAACACCAUUAUAUAACUGGCUCUCUUGGAAAAAGAUGGACAAAAAAUAAUAUCCCAUCCAGAAACCUUAACACAUUUAUCCAUCAGUUCAAAUGCCAUCUGUCCAUGGAAGAAGAAAUGCAAGAAGAUGAUAUAAUGAUGCGAACUUUUUACAGACUGAGGACCCAAACUGCAAAUCUCACACUGAUGUGAACAGAUCCCACCUUAUCUCAGACAGGGAAAGGAGAAAGCAGUCACAUUGAGCUGCUGGGUAAAUGGGCAGAUGAAGAAAGAAAUGUCCUCAGAUGUGCAGAGAGGGGGAGGGCAUAAACCCCCUCCAGCACAUGUGUCUUUGUCAUAGUUCUAAACUCCUGGCUACAACCCCAGCUCCUGGCUCUGGCUCCUGCUCCUGGAUAUUGUGCUCACCUGGUCCCAGCACUGCCCACCCCUGUGGUCUCUCUUGCUCACUUGCUCAUCUAGCCCAGCUGAUCCCAGCCCCAGCAACUCUGGCCUCCAACCCAGAUGGCUCAUCACCCCAGGACCCAGACUUCUGGUAGCAGACCCAAUUUCUUCAGGAUCAAAAACCAGCUGGUAAAAAAGUGGGGGUGUUUUUUCUUUAGGCUAGAAUUAGCCACCAGGUGAACUGGGGGCAGGAGAUCACAGUGAGGGAGAAAGACGGGAAGAAGGAAGAG